UACAGGGAGAAUUUUUUUGAAUAGUUCAGGGUUUAGGGAUCGUUUAUAUUAGAAGGUACAACUAACUCCAACCAACGCUUGAUGGUUCAACAAUGGCGAUUUAAUGGAAUUGAAUUUGCCAGAUGGGGCAAUAGGGAAUGAAUGGGUGAGGGUGUAAUUUACUGAUACACCCUUGAGCUGACUGAUUUAUUUGGUAUUUUGCUACUGCUUUGUUUUAGGAACUAGGGGACGUUCUGGGUCCACUUUGUUAACGAUGGCGUAGGAUUUAAAUUAUGUUUAUGGAUCAGUUAUUAAAAUAAUAUUGUAUAUGGUAAUGGAUAUAUUUUUUGACGAAUAGUAUUUAGUAAAAAAAUAUAUUAUAAUGUAUGAGUAUACGUGAGGAAAAGAGUUGUUGAACUACGCAGGAUGAAAUGUGUGGAUUAUUUCUAAUGUAAGUACAAAUAUUGUGUUGGUGAAGUGGUAUUUCUUACGUGAGUAUUCUCACACGUGUUACAUUUCCCACCUCUUAUUACUGAGUUAAAAAUCAGGAGGGUAUUUUGAUUUUGUUAGUUCUUGGACCAAAUGGAUUUCGUAGAUAGUCGUCGUGGAGUUCUUUGGUGAGAAAAAAAAGAUGCAACGGAGCUUUAACUUCACUGGUGUCGUCUCGUGGUUUGCAUCUAAGAAUAUAUACAUCUUUCAACGAUUCAUAUGAUGACACAUGCAUAAUGGAUAUGUGAAUUCGUGAAUAAAACGACCAGUCGAACAAUAAUCUUUCCAUUUUUAAGCUAGAUUUUGAUCAGGUUGACUAAAAGCCAAACAUGUUGUGGACACUUGCACACCAACACCAAAUGACUGAGUAUUUGUAUUUUUUGAUAAAACAGUAUCUGCUACAUUACCACGUUUCUUUGCUGUUUCUAACUUCGAUAUUUUAAACAAAAAUUAGCUUGUUGUUUCAUUCUUUUUCUUUUUUUGCUGGAAAAAUCAAGGCUACAAGUUAAUAACAAGGGGGAGUACCAACACACAUGCAAAAAUGAAAACAUAAUAAAAAUAAAUAAUUAAGCAUAUAUAUAUUUAAAAUACAAUAUUAUAUUUGUAAUAACGUGCUAUAUUUAUACAUGCCUGCAUAUAAAUCAGUAAAUUGUCAAUACCAUCAAAAGCAAAAAAAAAAAAACAUAUAAAGGUGAUAUAAACAAAUGCGUUUUAAAGAUAACUAAAGGUGAUGAAAUAGAAUCCAAGAAGGUCGUUUCAAUUGAAAGAACAUUGAAGCCAAUCAUUUAGUAUGUCAAAAAUCAUUAUCAUCAUCAACACCAUCGCCACUACAUGUACGUAACUACAACUUGAUUAUCAUCUUCAUUAUUUUUGUUGAUUAGUAAGCGAUUACAAACUGAUGAUGAAACAUGCUACACAUUAACAAUUGAUAGAGCCAUAGUACAUCUUAGUUCUUAAAACUAAUGAUGAGGAAGGAAAAAGAAUGUAGUAAUCAUUACGAUUCAAUUGUUUCCGACCUUUGCUAGUUGUGGAGAUGACGGUUGGUAGUUAGAUCACUGAGAAUGGCCAAACAUUUAGCAUUAAUAUUGUGGAGGGAUUGUAAUUGUCAAAACACAGGGACCAUAUAAAUAAAUCGUAAUUAUAGGGACGAGAGUCUGCAAUUCGAAAACUCGCGCACGUAAGAUGUGAAGAAGACGCGUUGACAUUAAUGCGACACGCUUCCUCAGAUCAAGUCUUCUAUUCGCCUUUCGGUUUAAUUUCCUCACGUCGAACAUGCUAGAAUGUGUGAAUGUGUCGAAUAUUUGCGGAAAGAUUGUGUGGCAAGUCACCCAGUAACUGAGAACACCAAUUAUAAAUAGAUAAGUACUGUAAAUGUCGAAGAACUUACGGAGCUAUUUGAGUAAGAUGAUAAUUCGUGGAAGAAAUAACCAUCUCUAUGUCCACUCUUUUUUUCUUUAUUAUUAUUAUUAUUAUCUUUUUCACAUUUCUUCUUUAGGUUGCUCUUGUUUUUAAACCCUAAAGAAGUUACCUGUGUUUCAUGUAGAUAUUUCAUGUUUUAAUUACGUGUUUUUUUUGGGGGGGGGGGGGGGAGGGGGAGGGAAGGGGGGCGGAGUUCGUUCGGUUCAUUUGUGUGUUGCUAUAGUCGAAGUUUAAUUGAAAUUUGAAAUCAUUUUGGUUUAGUACGUACAAGUAAAAUGUUUUAACAAAACAUGUACUCUUAAAGAAUCCGUGAAGAAAAAUAUGAUACAACAUCGUCAUGGAUGAAUUACGAAUAUAUUUCUAUCAUUCGUGUAUCUGUUUGAUUUCCAUCAUUAUUGCUUCACUCUAUUGAAUAUUCUAUUAUUAUUUUGUAGCAUCAAUCAUAGUGCAUAAUUUAAUUAUAACGUAACCGCUUCAAGAUUCAACUACUCUGCCACGGGUAUCAUUAACAAGUUGGUGGCAAACAAACAAAAAAACACAAGUUAGGCAUACAUCUAAAAUAUAUGGUUACUUGUUAGGAACAUUUAUUGAUGACACUAAUUUUCGGAUUUUGAAGGUACAAAUGUAACAACGCACUCACUUUAUAACGCAUGGAUUUAUCAUUUAUGUAUCGGUUAUUUCAAUCAUACAUACAUGUAAAUAUGUGUGCGUUACUAUAUCUAUGUUCACACUUAUAUCAUCAAAGCUAGUGUUGUUAAUUUAGUAUGCUAUAAACCAGACGAUUACCGUAAGUUUUUAUAAUAAUGUUUGUUUAUUAAAUGAUUUUAACAUUUUGCAAUACUACAAUCUUUAUCGAUUAUAAAAUGACGAAUACAAAUGUUUGUUUCUUAAAUAUCAUCGUUGUUGAAGAGUUAAUAUAUUACAUGUCAUUUAAAUUAUUUUUAAGACUUCAUAUGCACAAAAAAAAUUAAGUUUUGCGGCUGACACUAAUUAUCAAAACCAAAUAGGCAACAUCGAUUGUAUAAUGACGAAAGAGAAUUAAGUUUUCAGUUUUCGAUUUGUUUACUAUUAACUCUCCAUAAGUGAUUUCAUUUUAUACAUCUAUAAAAUUUUGCUUUCGUUCUCGCCUUUGUUUCGUUUAUGUGAGUUAAGUUUUUUUUUAACUUCUUCUAUGAAUUCGGUAAAUUACAUAAGUGUCAAUUUAAAAAGUUGACAUCUGUAAAAAUUAGUUUCACUCGAGAAACAUAUCUAAGAAUCAAAACUUUGAAAAAAAUCACAGACAAACUAUAUUAACAGGUUAGUGUUCAAAUCUAAAAUAUCAAUUUAUUAUAGAAUAUAAGUGCAGACUCGAAAUAUAAUUGUCUGUCUAAUAUAUAUUCACCAGCUCGGUCUAAAAAUCAUCUAAUUCUAGAACAACAAAAAAAUAAUUAUUUCACCAGUUUGGAUAAUAUCUGAUUCCGAACGGGUAAUAUCUGAACCCGAAUGAAUAUCCGAAGAUAACCAAACUUAAGUAUACUUAACCUAUAUUUUUAGUUUACUUCUCCUAUUUUAUUCAAAAUAUUUAUAUUAAUGAUGCUUAUUGCUCAAAAUUAGAUAAUAUACAUAUAAUCAUAGACAAAAUCAUUUACUACUCACUUAAAAUACAUAUUCAGCUCGUGUUUCUUGCAAUAACAAAAGUUGUAUCUAAAAUUUCAAAAAACAAGUAAGUUAUUGUCUUUCUAUUUUUAAAGUUUUAUCUCCAAACCUAUUAAUAGUUUAAUAUUUU
Long non-coding RNA from Brassica rapa (field mustard), 3652 nucleotides. RefSeq lists it as uncharacterized. The record is from RefSeq and is a predicted model, not a curated record. Lineage: Eukaryota; Viridiplantae; Streptophyta; Magnoliopsida; Brassicales; Brassicaceae.